Molecule: long non-coding RNA, 820 nt
Organism: Polistes canadensis
Lineage: Eukaryota; Metazoa; Arthropoda; Insecta; Hymenoptera; Vespidae
Exons: 5
Source: RefSeq, a predicted model, not a curated record
UUUUACCUAAAAGAAAAAAAAAAAUAUAUAUAUAUAUAAUAUACCAGGAAAUAAAUAUCAAAGUAUAUACAACGAGUUAUUCUGUACCUUUGCAAUGUACAACUUAUGACAAUGUGACAUAGGAUAUGAUGGAACAUAAAUAUCACUUAUAAACUGAUGAGAAUAUUUUGGAAUUUCAUCAGUACAACGAGAAGGAUGCCGUAAAAGAGACAACUCACCAUUAAUAGAUUCUAAUCUUGGAGAGUAUCGACCAGUAACAAGAUUAUUCAUAGAAUCCGUUAGUUCUGUGGGAACAUUAGUCUGCAGGCCAGUUCCGUUUGACUACAAAUCACAAAAAUCAAAAAACUCGUUCCUGUUCUGCACGGUACUCAGGAGUAACUAUUCCUCUACGAUCUGUAUACAAAUGAAUGUAUACAAUUAUCUUACAAAUGAUAGUAAUCAAAAGAAGUGAUGAAAAUUACCAAUUAAACUUGGUGGUGAAGGACCGCAUAAAACAUAGAAACAAUUUCCACAAAUAUUUCCGCGACUAUAUGGAUUGAAACUUUCUUGACCUAUUUUACUUGUAAAAGAACCUUUGAUCUUUAACACUCACAUCUUCAUUAGUUGUCUGAUUACUCGUGGCUAGAUACGUGUGAAAACCAGCAAGACCCAAAAUACUCCAAGCGGAAAAAAAGCAUAUCACUCCUACAAUGACACUACCAGGAGAUAAUUUGACAGCUUCUAAAAAUGCAUUUAAAAAUACUCACGCAUUAUUAAAUGUGUAACAGCGCAGGCAAAUAUAAAAACACAUAAGAAUGCUAAAGAUACUAUAAAAGCAUAA